AAGGCAUUCUGCGAUCUGGAGCCAAUUUACACCUACGAAGGAACCUAUGAUAUCAAUGCGAUGGUUACUGCAAGAGAAAUUACGGGGAUUGCGAGCUUCAAACCUGCUGCUCUGCAUAAAUUGAGCCGUCUUUGAUAGUAUCAUUUCGAACGUUUUGAUCACUGAUAAAAGUUGGAGAUCCCAAAGGCCCAGAAUAAAUUCUUAGUUAUGAUAAUGUAUUGUCAGGAUUUCAACUUCGUUGUAAAGUUGAAGACCUGGGAGCAAAUUAUUUUGUAUUUUG
RNAcentral lists this unclassified non-coding RNA (280 nucleotides) under Hevea brasiliensis (rubber tree). The record is from RNAcentral. Lineage: Eukaryota; Viridiplantae; Streptophyta; Magnoliopsida; Malpighiales; Euphorbiaceae.